This 301-nucleotide ribosomal RNA is filed under the name uncultured bacterium. RNAcentral's name for it is "partial 16S ribosomal RNA". It matches the Rfam family "Bacterial small subunit ribosomal RNA", at positions 509 to 807 of the family's 1533-position model. The record is from RNAcentral.
CAGCCGCCGCGGUAAUACGGAGGGGGCUAGCGUUGUUCGGAACUACUGGGCGUAAAGCGCACGUAGGCGGACUGGAAAGUCAGAGGUGAAAUCCCUGGGCUCAACCCCGGAACUGCCUUUGAUACUGGGAGUCUUGAGUUCGAGAGAGGUGAGUGGAAUUGCGAGUGUAGAGGUGAAAUUCGUAGAUAUUCGGAGGAACACCAGUGGCGAAGGCGGCUCACUGGCUCGAUACUGACGCUGAGGUGCGAAAGCGUGGGGAGCAAACAGGAUUAGAUACCCGUGUAGUCCCUGUCUCUUAUAC